This 253-nucleotide ribosomal RNA is filed under the name uncultured bacterium. RNAcentral's name for it is "partial 16S ribosomal RNA". It matches the Rfam family "Bacterial small subunit ribosomal RNA", at positions 524 to 776 of the family's 1533-position model. The record is from RNAcentral.
GACAGAGGGGGCAAGCGUUGCUCGGAAUCACUGGGCGUAAAGGGCGCGUAGGCGGGAUGGCAAGUCAGUCGUGAAAUCUCUCGGCUCAACCGAGGAACUGCGCCCGAGACUGCCUUUCUUGAGUCCCGGAGAGGAAGGUGGAAUUCCCGGUGUAGCGGUGAAAUGUGUAGAGAUCGGGAGGAACACCGGUGGCGAAGGCGGCCUUCUGGACGGUGACUGACGCUGAGGAGCGAAAGCGUGGGGAGCAAACAGG